GGCUGCGUAGCUCAGUGGUAAGAGCGAAGCCCUCAUAAAGCUUAAGUCGUUGGUUCGAUUCCAACCGCAGCCA
RNAcentral lists this transfer RNA (73 nucleotides) under Candidatus Curtissbacteria bacterium RIFCSPLOWO2_02_FULL_40_11. Its description in RNAcentral is "tRNA-Met". It matches the Rfam family "tRNA". From Rfam's summary of the family: Transfer RNA (tRNA) molecules are approximately 80 nucleotides in length. Their secondary structure includes four short double-helical elements and three loops (D, anti-codon, and T loops). RNAcentral also lists the same sequence under 1 other name. Lineage: Bacteria; Candidatus Curtissiibacteriota. The record is from RNAcentral.